Molecule: long non-coding RNA, 4489 nt
Organism: Heterocephalus glaber (naked mole-rat)
Lineage: Eukaryota; Metazoa; Chordata; Mammalia; Rodentia; Bathyergidae
Source: RefSeq, a predicted model, not a curated record
CUGCGGCAACCGGGUUUUAUUCCGUGAAUUCUGAGCUGCCUUUGUGCCCGAUGGGACUGGAUCAGUGAGAUUCUGUCACAACCUCGCCCCUCGGGGCUGCGCCCUGCCCGUGGGAGGUGCAGUGCGCGUGGCAGCAGUUUCCUCCAACAGUGUUGUCUUCCGUCUUUCACAGAGUGGAGGUUAAUGAUUCACUUCAAGAAAACUAUGCUGCAGAAGUGACACCGUAGGAUUUUGGAGCUGUCAUAAUGGUAACAUUCACUGGCUCUUCCUCUCUUGGGUCAUUGGCUCAAGGAGUUUGCUCCCGAGGAGAGAACGCAGUCAAUAUCCUCUGUGGGUGUGCAAAGAGCCUGAGAAGAGGAAUAAAUGAGGAGGAAUAGAAGCCUUUCCCACAAGGCAGCACCAACUCAACAGUCAUGUGAGUCAUGUUUUCUCUUGGAAAGAGAUCCCUCUGGCUUCUUCAAGAUCUCAGAUAAUGAUGAUCCACCAGAGAUUUAACUGCAACAGAAGGAGAGAAUCUGUUCUACAAACAUCCAGCAAAGACACUCCUGAAUUACCAACUCAUAAAACUGUAAAGACAAUAAAUGGUAAUUUCACUUUACAGAGGUGUAUCAAAAUUUUUUGUUACAUAUAUUAACUAGAAUAGAAAAUGAAAAGAAAGAAGAAAUAAAGAAAGGAAAGAAACAAGGAAGAAGAUAAAAGAGGAAAGUACAGUUCAUUUAUUGCUUUGAAAUGCCUAUUUUAUUACUUGGAAAGAGUUUAAUGUUUCUUUAUAACAGAAUGGUUUCUAAAUGUAUUAAACAAUUAAAUAUUAGAAAUGAAACCAUAAAAAAAGAAAAUAAGUGGUACUGGGAACAAUUGUGAAUACCUGUAAUCCCAGAUCUCUGGGAGGCUAAGCCGGGAGGAUUUCAAGUACCAACCCAGCCUUGGCAAUUUAGCAAUUUAGCAAGACUCUGUUUCAAAAUAAAAUAAAACCAAAUGUAUUUCAUUACUUAAAGCCACUAAGUUUAUGACUUUAUAUAGCAAAAAAUAAUUCAGCGAUUCAUAGAUUGAUAGAUUAAAUUUGAAGUCAAUUGGCUAAAAUUGUUUACUGAAAAAAAUGAAUAGAAUAAUAUGAAGAAAAAUUUAAAUAUAUUGAGGUCGGGGAAAAGUAAUAAAAAAUAGAACACUAGGUGGAAGAAAAGCUUAUGAUAGUGAUUGACAAGAUACAUUCAGUAAGAUAAAAAGAUUUGGAGUAUUGAUGGGCCAUAAAAUAAUCAAGGAUGUUGUACUGAUCAGCUUUUGGCCAAUGAGACAAAGCACCUGUGACCUGAAAAUUUGCAGAAGAAAAGGUAUAUUUUUGGUUCAGAGUUCUAGAGGUUUCACUCUACAAUCAACUAUCUCCAAUACAAAACCAUCAUAAUAGAAAGCAUUGUAGAGGUAGCUACUCAAAUAUGGUAGCUGGGGAGCAGAAGCAGUUGGAAAGAUACUAUCUUAGUUUCUUUUUUCAUUGCUGAGACAAAAUACCCAACACUCAAAGUUAAAGGAGGAAAAGUUUAUUUUAGAGCAUAGUUUGUAGAAGUUUCAUUCCAUAGUCCCCUUGGUCCAAGGAAGGGUAGCAUGGCAGAGGGGCAUCACAUCCACAAAGGAAAAACAGUCCAUGGUGUGGCAGGCAGAAAGCAGCAAAGGAGCAAGCAGCAAAGCAGCAAGCAGCAAGCAGCAAGGUGCCAGCCUGCCUCUCCCUUUUAUGCCAUCUAGGCUAUCACCCUUUUUGGUAGUGCCACUCAGAACUAUGCUAAUUCCAGUAAAUGGACCAUUUUAGUACUGCACACCAGUAAUCCCAAUAUCACAUGCCCCAGAACCAGCUGACUCAGAAAAGCCCCACCUAUGAGUGCAUGAGGUUUGACAGGGACAUCUAUACACAAGUCAUAACACAGCCAGAGAGGAAGGUCACACCCAAACAUACCCAGACACACCCAGAAGUGUUUGACUAAUUUCCUAAAUGUCUCCUAAGCAGAUCAAGUUGACAGUCCAGAUUAACUGUCACAGGUGUUAAAUUCUAGAUCAAAUACUUUUCAAGUUAAAGACUGUCAGUGAAUUAAACUAUAAAUGUUUAAUAUGAUUAGGAAUAUAAAUUUAUAUGAAAUCAUGUGGGAAAAAAUCCCAAUUCACUGUAGGUAACAAAAUAAAUGGGAAUUAAUUAAAAAUCAAGAACAGCUAAUACAGAUAUGGUAUGCCUAGAAUCUUUGUUAUAAAUAUACUCUAGAUAAAGCAUUUAUGGAGAGGAAUAAUAAAGAGAUGAAGGGCAGAAAUGUCCAGUGAAUACCUGGCAACACAAACUUGGACUUUAGAAAGAUUCUGGCUUGAGAAAUUUACAUCAUCAUAGCAUUAGUGUAUUGAGAUAGAUAAACCACAAGAAAAAAUGAGAUCCCUUAAGAAUAUGAGAUAGUUGAGGUAAAAAUAUGGCCACAUUUGUAAUUUUAACAUGAUUUUCUUAUUUCUAGCAGGACAUGAUAGAUGAUAAUUUCUCUAUCACUUUUGUAUAGUGCAAGAGAAUAAAUGAUUCAUUCUAGACCAUAUAAUAUGGUGGUAGGAUACUAGGAACAAGAACUCAUGGUACGAGCCAUGUUUUCUCUAUGUAUGUGUCAGUUAAUGAACAUUGGGAGUGUUUCCAUUUCUUAUGUAUCAUAAAUAAUUCAGAAAUAAACCUGCAAAUAUAGAUGUUUCUUUAACACACUGAUUCAUUUUUUGUAUAUAUACUCAGUAGUGUGAUUGCUGGAUCAUGUAGUAGUUCUAUUGGUCAAUAUUUUAAAGCAACUUCUUUACUUUUCUCCACAAUAGCAGCUUUCACCAUAAAUGUUUAUCACCAGAAAUGAUAAAUGUUUGAGAAAAUAGCUAUAUUUUACCUGACUUAAACAUUACACAAUGUAUAUACUCAUAAACAGUCCCCAUAAAUGAGUACACUUUUAUACUUUUAUCAGUAAAAAUAAGUGUAAUUAAAAUAAAUUUAUAAUACUUACAUUAUUGAGAUGAGAUGAUUUAUAUGUUUUUAUAUAUUAGUAAUACUCAAUAGUUACAAAAAUGUGCAAAACAAAUGAAAAGUAUGUUUGGCAUUUCAAAAAUGAAAGAAAUGCUUAAAUUUACUAUUUGCCUUACAAAUAAAAUAUGAUAUUCACCUCUCAAAAAAUGUCAUAUUACUCUAGUAAGUGCUAGCAAUUAAAAGUUUACUGGCCCCUCCAAAACCCAUUGAACUUUAGAAUCCCAUUGACGAUCUGCAGUAGUCAUACGAAUAUGACGUUCUGACAGAUAUUUGCACCUUUUAAAAAUAUAUUUUUCUAGAUGUAAAAUAUCGUUCUUACUAUGAAACAACAAAACUACAGAUUCAGUGAAAUAUUAUUUGCUUAGAUUGAAUUAAUAAAAUUUAUAUUAUACUAAUAUUGAAUAGACAUAUCUUAAUAGAAAAAUAUAUUGUAUUUAACUGCUCUAUUUACUGGAAUAUUUAUUUUCAAGAUAAUACUAUUCAAAAGAACUAAUAAAGGCUUUGGAAAGAUAAAAUCCAUACAAGAAAAAGACACUAUUUCAGCAGUGCAAUUUCUUUCUUCUUUAAAAUGAGAAUUAAAUAUCAUGGUAUGUUUUUAUGGCUUUUUAUUAUAUAUUCAUAGUUUUUUCAUUUAAUAAUCUUAAAUCAUAGUGUAGCUUCGUUAAAAUUUCAAUAUUUGAACAUUGAUGAGGAUUACUUUAUGGGCUAGAUUUUGGAUUAUCUUUUCUCAAUUUAAAUUUUUUAAAGUUACAUUUUAACUGGUACAUUAAAAAGUAUUAAAAAUUUCAUAUUAACAUGAUGUUUGAUUAAAAAUAAAUAUUGGGUAAUGUUUAAGUCAUAUUAAUCAUAUCUGUCUCUUUAGUUAUCAUUUCUUUAGUGUAAAGUGUUUCAAAUUUCUUUCUUUAAGGUUUUGGAAUGUACUGAAAAUUAUAGAAAUCUAUAGUCACUGUACCGUAUUGCACACCAGAACUUUUUACUUCUUUAUGUUACUUUACUUCUUUAUGUUACCCAUUGGUUAAACUUUCCCCAUCAUACCUGUAUCCCCUAACAAACUUCCUCAACCUUUAAUAACCACCAUUAAACUUUUAACUUGAAUGAGAUUAACUUUGUCUAGAUUUCAUGUAUGAAUGAUAUCAUAAAGUCCCUGUCUUUCUUUAACUGGCUUAUUUCAGUGAACGUAAUGAUCACCAGUUCCAUCCAUGCAAAAUAACUUCAUCUUGAUUAAGUCUGAAUAGUAUCUUAUUGUGUGUAGGUACCACAUUGAUUUAUUCAUUCAUUGGUUGAUAUAUAUUUGGGUUUUUCUAAUUCUUCAUAUUGUGAACAGUGGUGCCCUUUUUAUAAUGGUAGAUGACUCUAAGAAUCAGUGUUAAUGAAGGGAAUUGAAAUGUGUUAUGUACUUGUACCAAUCCCCUAAAGGGAAUGUAAUCAUUAUGUACUGUGAAAACACACUAAUAAAAGUAACAGAAAAAGAAA